UUCUGUUUUUUUUUUUUUUUUUUUUCCCCGCUGCAAGAACAAACUCAGCGAACGUUGUGAAUCAAAAACAGAGUGUCCUUGAUGCUACUGCUACUGUUAUUUACAGCGAAGAUUGUGGAGAAAAAACAGAGUAACCCAGCACAGGUUGUGGAGAAAAAACAGAGUAACCCACAAAAUCACUACGAAGGAACCCAGCAAAGGUUGUGGAGAAAAAAAACAGAGUAGCCCAGCAAAAUCAUUACGGUAACUGAUUUAUUCUUUUCUAAUAUUAUUACUUUUUCAAACAACAACUUUAGAUAACCUUACAAUGCAACAGUAAAACGAAUAUAGUAAAUAGAAUAUGUUUGU
Long non-coding RNA from Quercus robur (English oak), 348 nucleotides. RefSeq lists it as uncharacterized. NCBI's taxonomy places the organism in Eukaryota, Viridiplantae, Streptophyta, Magnoliopsida, Fagales, Fagaceae. The transcript has 3 exons. The record is from RefSeq and is a predicted model, not a curated record.